GGCAAGGUGGCCGAGUGGUUAAGGCGCUGUGUUUAGGCUGCUUAUAUAGCUUAAAUGUCCGCAGUGGGCAACCGCGUGGUAUGAUCUAAUCCUACUUGUUG
Molecule: non-coding RNA, 101 nt
Organism: Zopfia rhizophila CBS 207.26
Lineage: Eukaryota; Fungi; Ascomycota; Dothideomycetes; Zopfiaceae
Source: the annotation of a GenBank genome assembly